AGAGUUGAUCCUGGCUUAGGAUGAACGCUAGCUACAGGCUAACACAUGCAAGUCGAGGGGCAGCAGAUCGAAAGCUUGCUUUGAUGCUGGCGACCGGCGCACGGGUGAGUAACGCGUAUCCAACCUUCCCUGUAGUAGAGAAUAGCCCGGCGAAAGUCGGAUUAAUGCUCUAUGUUGUAUUUAGAGGACAUCUGAAGAAUACCAAAGGUUUACCGCUAUAGGAUGGGGAUGCGUCUGAUUAGGUUGUUGGCGGGGUAACGGCCCACCAAGCCCACGAUCAGUAGGGGUUCUGAGAGGAAGGUCCCCCACAUUGGAACUGAGACACGGUCCAAACUCCUACGGGAGGCAGCAGUGAGGAAUAUUGGUCAAUGGACGAAAGUCUGAACCAGCCAAGUAAGCGUGCAGGAUGACGGCCCUAUGGGUUGUAAACUGCUUUUAUACAGGGAUAAAGUGAGGGACGUGUCCCUUUUUGUAGGUACUGUAUGAAUAAGGACCGGCUAAUUCCGUGCCAGCCGCCGC
RNAcentral lists this ribosomal RNA (519 nucleotides) under uncultured bacterium. RNAcentral's name for it is "bacterial SSU rRNA". It matches the Rfam family "Bacterial small subunit ribosomal RNA", at positions 8 to 518 of the family's 1533-position model. The record is from RNAcentral.